Molecule: unclassified non-coding RNA, 348 nt
Filed under: soil metagenome
Description: partial contains 5.8S ribosomal RNA, internal transcribed spacer 2, and large subunit ribosomal RNA
Rfam family: 5.8S ribosomal RNA (bases 1-120)
Source: RNAcentral
GAUGAAGAACGCAGCGAAAUGCGAUAAGUAAUGUGAAUUGCAGAAUUCAGUGAAUCAUCGAGUCUUUGAACGCACAUUGCGCCCCCUGGUAUUCCGGGGGGCAUGCCUGUCCGAGCGUCAUUGCCGCCCUCAAGCACGGCUUGUGUGUUGGGCCCCCGCCCCCCGGCUUCGGGGGGCGGGCCCGAAAGGCAGCGGCGGCACCGCGUCCGGUCCUCGAGCGUAUGGGGCUUCGUCACCCGCUCUGUAGGCCCGGCCGGCGCCCGCCGGCGACUCCAAUCAAUCUUUCCAGGUUGACCUCGGAUCAGGUAGGGAUACCCGCUGAACUUAAGCAUAUCAAUAAGCGGAGGA